Molecule: ribosomal RNA, 378 nt
Filed under: uncultured bacterium
Lineage: Bacteria
Description: bacterial SSU rRNA
Rfam family: Bacterial small subunit ribosomal RNA
Source: RNAcentral
GUAGGGUGCAAGCGUUAAUCGGAAUUACUGGGCGUAAAGCGUGCGCAGGCGGUUUUGUAAGAUAGAUGUGAAAUCCCCGGGCUCAACCUGGGAAUUGCAUAUAUGACUGCAAGACUUGAGUUUGUCAGAGGAGGGUGGAAUUCCAAGUGUAGCAGUGAAAUGCGUAGAUAUUUGGAAGAACACCGAUGGCGAAGGCAGCCCUCUGGGACAUGACUGACGCUCAUGCACGAAAGCGUGGGGAGCAAACAGGAUUAGAUACCCUGGUAGUCCACGCCCUAAACGAUGUCUACUAGUUGUUGGGUGAGCAAUCUCUUGGUAACGCAGCUAACGCGUGAAGUAGACCGCCUGGGGAGUACGGUCGCAAGAUUAAAACUCAAA